AGCAGCCGCGGUAAUUCCAGCUCCAAUAGCGUAUAUUAAAGUUGUUGCAGUUAAAAAGCUCGUAGUUGAAUUUCGGGAUCAAUGUUUCGGUCAUGCCGUUGGUAUGUACUGAUAUUAUUGAUUUCUCACCUUCUAAAGAACCGUAAUGCCAUUAAUUUGGUGUCACGGGGAAUUAGGACUGUUACCUUGAAAAAUUAGAGUGUUUAAAGCAGGCUCACGCUUGAAUACAUUAGCAUGGAAUAAUGAAAUAGGACAUCCGAUUCUAUUUUGUUGGUUUCUAGGAUCGAUGUAAUGAUUAAUAGGGAUAGUUGGGGGCAUUAGUAUUCAAUUGUCAGAGGUGAAAUUCUUGGAUUUAUUGAAGACUAACUACUGCGAAAGCAUUUGCCAAGGAUGUUUUCAUUAAUCAAGAACGAAAGUUAGGGGAUCGAAGACGAUCAGAUACCGUCGUAGUCUUAACCAUAAACUAUGCCGACUAGGGAUCGGAUGAUGUUAAUUUUUAAUGACUCAUUCGGCGUACCCG
Molecule: ribosomal RNA, 520 nt
Filed under: uncultured Glomus
Lineage: Eukaryota; Fungi; Glomeromycota; Glomeromycetes; Glomerales; Glomeraceae
Description: SSU rRNA
Rfam family: Eukaryotic small subunit ribosomal RNA
Source: RNAcentral